UGUUCCGUUUCUUUCACGGAGGCUAGAUGACCAUCUAGCCUCCGUGGUUACUUUGAUAUGAAAAAUUGUUAUUUUUAUAGCUUGUUAAUUUAAUAAUAAUUAUAAUAAUAAUAAUAAUAGUAUUAAUAACAAUAAUUUUAUUUAUCACUAGGAAAGUGCUUAUGUACUCCUGAAAUUAACUAAUUUCUUUUUGGAAAUUCAGCUUUGCUUAUUGUUAAAGGCUGAUUAAUAAUAAAAAAGAGUAGGAAGCUCCGAGAUCUUGUUUUCAAGUGGAAUGGUAAUUUAGAUGCUAUCGAUGAAAAUAGUAGUGAUAGUCAAACCAAUUAUCUAAAUUAGUGGCAUUAAAUCUGUGUUCAAUAUUAUAUUUAUAAAAGUAAAGGUGGUUCUACGGAUUAUAGAGUGUCAAGCAUAAUCAUGCGUUAUAUUACUUAAAGGGCACGAAGACAUUCAUUACGAAGAAUUUUAUAUUUGAUACUUCUAUAUGUUGAUAUCAGAUUUUAUAAAACCGAUGCCGAUGAAAGUUAAGCAAAGCUGAUGAAUUUAUGAUAUUCAUGACAGCGGAUCAGCAAGAAGGAGUAAAACCACUUGUCAACCCUGAUGAUUAUUUUGAGUAUUUACUGUUUGCAGUAUCAGAAUUGUACAAAAAAGAUCCACUAAAAUUAAAUUUUGUUUUAGAGUACUAGUGUCGAAACGAUAACGUUACGCACGUAUCAUCGAAUGCCCACGUGGCAAGAUUAUCAGUUCGUCAAGGGACGUUGUUUAAAUUCGUACGACUAGCUAGUGAAAUAUUACCUGCAGGACUAUUUGUGCCAUACUUAAAAAUGAUAGCGUCAUUGGCAUCAUCACCACAAGCAGCAAGACAUGCUUUCAAUUUCUUGAAACCUAAUGGCUCCAGUGGAUCAACAAUACCAUGGGAUCAUUUUUUCAACUCUCUUGACAGAUAUUAUUACAACUUACGUCAAGAAUUGCCGCCAAGUUACGAUACAGUUAAUCAUCAGCACUGUCAUCUAAAAGGAAUCACGCCGCAUGAAGUUAAUGGUCCGGAAGCAGUACUGGAUGUAGUACAAGUUGUCGCUAAAUACGAUGAGAUGUCUCGCAUUGCCAUUUGUGAGCAUCCAGGUUGGAAAGUCAUACCAGCUCUGAUAGGUCUUGCACGCUGUGUAAUGCCUAUACGGCUCAAAAGAGUUCUAGUUCGUACAACAGCUGCUCUACCCAAAUCAUCCGAGAGCUCAAGUACUAUCUGGCAAAGUUUAAAAGUGGCACAAAUUUUGUGUACUAUUCCAACAACCAGCAGUUACUAAUCCCGAGGUAUCCAGACAGAGUUAGAAGAAACUGAAUCGCGUAAUGAAGAAUAUCCAUUAACUCGAUCAAUGUUUGAACUUUUUGAUGCUCUGGUAGACUCUGAUUCUAUGACUACUGGGUGUUGGUCAACGAAACCCAGGCUUUGAUCUUUAUCUCUAUUUUAUUAUUAAAACAGUAUUUCUUAGAUUUAAUAUCCGGUCGUACAAAGAUCCCAAGGAAAAGUGGCUAGUUGCUGAUACCUAUUUAAAGAUUUUCAAUAAAUUAAUCGCACAAUACGAGCCUAAUGUUGAAGAUUUCAUUGGUUAUCGUAUAGAAUUACAAGACGGUGAUUUUACUCUGGUAAAUCCUGAACCUGGAUAUCAUAUAAUGACUCAACUAUAUUCUAUUUCAGAAUUUCUACACGUGAUUCUCUACAUUCUUGACGAAGGUCGUCAUAAUUCAGAAACUUACGACUACUUGCUAAGUAAAGAUAGCUUGGAAAACAGUACAUUCUACUGUCUGAGAAUCCAUGAGCGUGGUCGAAUAAAAUUUUAACAGGUUUAUUUAAGCUUUCAUCAGGUGUAAAUCUAAGAACAGAAAAGCCAGACCACAUGAUCAACAUCGCAAUGUAUAUGACUUUUAACUUUUAAACUCGUGGGUACCCAAACACGCUUAUGUAUCUAUUGGAAUAAUUCAAGAUUCAAGCAAAUGAGCCUGGAGCAGACUCAGAAUUACUUUCUACAUUUACAUCGACAUCUCAGAUGUCUCUAACAAUCAGACAUGGUUUUGUUGAGUUUCUUGACUUGGAUCCAGUUGACGCUAAUCAAAAAUUGGAAGAAGAAAAAAAUCAGAAUAACUCUGCACCAAUCGCGACAAUGAGGUAAACUACUGGAAGAUACAAACUUCUUAUUGAAAGCAAGAUACAUACGAUAUUUAGAAGAAUUUGCGCUGGUCUAUGUUACGCGAGUGAAUCUGAUGUUGGAUACAUUAUGUCAUUGGUUUAUCAGAUGGCUUACUCUGAUAAUAAUGCCACUAAUAUGAGCUUAAAAAUUACUUCUUUCAAUGUUACAUUUGCUACUACUCCAGGAAAAUUAAACUGGGAUGAUAAAAUUCAAGGAAUAACACUGGGUUCAUUAAUCUUCAGCUAUCUAUUCAGAAAUGUUAUAAAUAGGCGAAUGAUUGGUGGUAUAUUAAUGAAUGUUCCCGGUGUAUUUUUACAACUUUAUUAACUGUAGUAAGUUCAUUUAUUGAGGUAUUUUUUGUAUUUAGUAAAAAUCCAAUUUUUUUUAACGAACGCUAUAAAUAAAGCGUUAAAUAACAAAGUGAGAAUAAAUAUGUAAACCGAGAUAAAGGUACCGAAGUUGUAGCCCAUGACUUAUUAAAAGGUUUAACGUUGUCAGUUUACUUGUUAUAUCGACUUGGUCGUCGUAACAUUCGUAUUCUUGAUUAUGACGUUAAUGACUUUUAUAAUUAUGCUCAUAAAUUUUUUAUGAAUUAUAAUAAUAAUUUAUUUAUUCAAAUUAAUUGAACUGUAAAAAUUUAAUUGUUUAUAUUUAUUUAAAUUACUUUGGUUUGCCGCCAAAUUUUUUGUGCUCUGCGCAUCUCGAUGUACCAUUUUUAAAACAAUUGAAUAGCGUAUUUAUAAUAAAUGCUUAAUUGGGUAUCGAAUAUUGUCGUUAUUAAUGUAGUUUAAGUUAAUUGUAACUCAAAAACAAUUGACAUUAAUAUUUCACUGUUAUUUUAUGUCUUAGUUUGAUAAAAACUAUAUUUUGUUAACUUGAUUAUAGUGGAAUGCAAUAAAGAUAAAAUAUUAACCAUUUUAGAU
Microplitis demolitor is the source of this 3106-nucleotide long non-coding RNA. RefSeq lists it as uncharacterized. The transcript has 4 exons. NCBI's taxonomy places the organism in Eukaryota, Metazoa, Arthropoda, Insecta, Hymenoptera, Braconidae. The record is from RefSeq and is a predicted model, not a curated record.